AGAGAUCUUCGGGGUAGGGUGCAAUUCCCGACCGGCGGUGAACAUUUUUUUACAAGUGAAAAAAUGGUAGCCCGCGACUCAUUUUUCGUUUUAUAGAGGAAUGACUGAUCUGGUGAGAAUCCAGAGCCGACGGUAAAGUCCGGAUGGGAGAAGAUCAAC
Molecule: non-coding RNA, 159 nt
Filed under: Paenibacillus sp.
Lineage: Bacteria; Bacillati; Bacillota; Bacilli; Caryophanales; Paenibacillaceae
Also listed under: 1 other name
Description: FMN sequence
Rfam family: FMN riboswitch aptamer (RFN element)
About the family: The RFN element is a highly conserved domain that is found frequently in the 5'-untranslated regions of prokaryotic mRNAs that encode for flavin mononucleotide (FMN) biosynthesis and transport proteins. This element is a metabolite-dependent riboswitch that directly binds FMN in the absence of proteins.
Source: RNAcentral